GCCGGCGUAGCUCAGGGGUAGAGCAGCUGAUUCGUAAUCAGCAGGCCGUUGGUUCAAAUCCUACCGCCGGCU
This 72-nucleotide transfer RNA is filed under the name Dethiosulfatarculus sandiegensis. It matches the Rfam family "tRNA". Rfam says of the family: Transfer RNA (tRNA) molecules are approximately 80 nucleotides in length. Their secondary structure includes four short double-helical elements and three loops (D, anti-codon, and T loops). Further hydrogen bonds mediate the characteristic L-shaped molecular structure. tRNAs have two regions of fundamental functional importance: the anti-codon, which is responsible for specific mRNA codon recognition, and the 3' end, to which the tRNAs corresponding amino acid is attached (by aminoacyl-tRNA synthetases). tRNAs cope with the degeneracy of the genetic code in two manners: having more than one tRNA (with a specific anti-codon) for a particular amino acid; and 'wobble' base-pairing, i.e. permitting non-standard base-pairing at the 3rd anti-codon position. The record is from Rfam by way of RNAcentral. Lineage: Bacteria; Pseudomonadati; Thermodesulfobacteriota; Desulfarculia; Desulfarculales; Desulfarculaceae.